RNAcentral lists this ribosomal RNA (248 nucleotides) under uncultured bacterium. Its description in RNAcentral is "partial 16S ribosomal RNA". It matches the Rfam family "Bacterial small subunit ribosomal RNA", at positions 86 to 334 of the family's 1533-position model. The record is from RNAcentral.
UGCUGACGACCGGCGAACGGGUGAGUAACGCGUAUGCAACCUGCCUUUUACAGGGGAAUAGCUUUCGGAAACGGAAAUUAAUGCCCCAUAACACUGCGAGGUGGCAUCACCAUGCAGUUAAAACUACGGUGGUAAAAGAUGGGCAUGCGUAACAUUAGCUAGUUGGUAAGGUAACGGCUUACCAAGGCAAUGAUGUUUAGGGGACCUGGGAGGGUGAUCCCCCACACUGGUACUGAGACACGGACCAG